This 4935-nucleotide long non-coding RNA is filed under the name Canis lupus familiaris (dog). RNAcentral describes it as "lncRNA (ENSCAFG00845027129.1)". The record is from RNAcentral. Lineage: Eukaryota; Metazoa; Chordata; Mammalia; Carnivora; Canidae.
UUUUUUUUUUUAAUUAGUUAAGACAUUCAUUCUAAACACUAUCCUUGGGACGCCUGGGUGGCUCAGUGGUGGAGCGUCUGCCUUCAGCUCAGGGCAUGACCCUGGGGUUCCAGGAUUGAGCCCCACAUCAGGCCCGCCAUAGGGAGCUUGCUUCUCCCUCUGCCUGUGUCUCUGCCUCUCUGUGUCUCUCAUGAAUAAGUAAUAUCUUUAAAAAAAAAAAAAGAAAGAAAGAAAGAAAAAGAAAGAAAGAAAGAAACAAACCCCAACACUAUGCUUUCCACUAAAAGUUAGAUCUGUUUCUGGACUUUCUAAUCAAUCUUGAGCUCUGCUCACCAACAAAAAUUCUUAUUUCCAGAUAGAAUAUUUUUUUUCAUUGCCCACAAUAGGUUUUAUGCAGACUGCUGCCUAUAUACACAUUGUUCUCCUAGCCUGGAACAUCCUCUUACCUUCCCUCCACAGAUUCUUCAAAGCAAAACCAUUUCUGAGGUAAGUAGUAAAUGCUAAAAAAAAAAAAAAAAAUUAAUUUAAAUUUAAAAAAAAGUAGUAGUAAAUGCUGGGGUGCCUGGGUGGCUCAGUUGGCAGAGCAUGCAACUCCUAAUCUCAGGGUCAUGAGUUCAAGCCCCACAUUGGGUGUAGAGUUAACUUUAAAAAAAGAAAUAGUAAAAAAAAAAAAAGAAAGAAAGAAAAAAAAGAAAUAGUAAAUGCUAUUUAAAACAAGAAAUGUUUUUUAAAAAAUAUUUAUUUAUGUUUUAGAGAAAGAGAGUGAGCAGGAGGGGGAGUGGGAAGAGAAAGAAUUUCAAGCAGACUUCACAUUGAGCAUGGAGCCUGACACAGGACUCAGUCUCACAACCCUGAGAUCAUGACCUGCAAUCUUGACCUGAGCUGAAACCAAGAGUCAGAUACUUAACUGACUGUGCCACCCAGGUGCCCCACACAAGAAAUGCUUUCAAAGGAGAGAAAUAACAUAAAAGAACACAUCAGAGGUUCUAAAAAUACUUUGUGUGGCUAAAGUGGAUGAAUUUUUACUCAGCAGAACCAUUUCAGUGGGCUUUGGACAUAUGGAAGUAAGUUUGGAAGACAGAGUAGAAUUCAAUUGCUUUGCAUAACAGAAGAAGUAGUAUCGGGAAUAUUUAGUGGCAACAGAGUUAGGAAAGUUUGCAGAGGAAUGAUUAUAAGAGACCAAAGCCCUAGGUACAUGGGUGAUAUACAUAGUGAUGAAUCUCUAAUGGAGAUAUAGACAAAAAAAUACUUUAAGGGAUAGGGAUAGCCAGUAUUAGAAUUCAAGUUGCUGCUUUCCGGCAAUGUAAAACACUCUCCAUUAUCCUAAAUCUUUAAUAAAGUCUGCUACACACAUACAGGCUUUAGCUGGGAGAUAUUUGAGCUCUACAUCUGGGUGAAUGUGGAUGGAAACAGAGACAGCAUGCUUGAGACAGUAAGACCAUCUAUAAUCUGAACUAAUUUAGUGGAAGCAAGAGCUCAAAAUUAGAAUGACCGUAAAUACAUGAGCUCCUAGGAAUUUGAAGAAUCUGGGUGAAGGAAUCAGACUCUACAAUCUGUAGAAUGACACUUUGAGCCAAAUUUUUAGGGGAAAAGAUGGUUCCAGCUAACUAAUGGGUUACAUUAAUAUACUCAAUCUUCAGAAGCUUUUAAAAAGGACCAAACUUGGGACACCUGGGUGGCUCAGGGUGUGAUCCCGGUCUGGGGAUCAAGUUCCACAGCAGGCUCCCUGUGAAGAGCCUGCUUCUGUCUCUGCCUGUGUCUCUCAUGAAUAAAUAAAUAAAAUCUUAAAAAAAAAAAAAAAAAAAGGAGGACCAAACUGGGGCACCUGGUGGCUCAGUAGUUGAGCCUUUGGCUCAUGUCAUGAUCCUGGGGUCUGGGGAUCAAGUCCUGCAUCAGGCUCCGUGCAGGAUGUAUGCUUUUCCCUCUGCCUGUGUCUCUGCCUUUUUCUCUGUGUCUCGAAUGAAUGAAUGAAUGAAUGAGUAAAUAAAUAAAUAAGUAAAUCUUUAAAAAGGACCAAACUACAUGAGGUUCAGUGGUGAUUUACAGAAGAGACCAGUGGGGGAGGUACUAGUUACUCUGCUUGCACAAGAAAUAAUCUGAGGAUUUUACUCCAUUCCUUCCCCACUCCACAUGCUCCCAUCGGGGUGUUCCAGUCCCUACCUUACUUAGUGUGUCCUUAGUCAACAAUCAUCUCUUCCAUGAAACUUUCUCCCAAGGUUUUAGCUCUCAGGUGAUCCCUUUCCAAAACUUCCAUUUUACCUAGAAUCUGAACCUCGGUGUAACCUUUACUUGUCCUUUUUUUUCCUAUUUGUUAACUUCUCUACUAAGUUCAACUAGAGAUGCCUUGCAGACAAGGACCCCAGCGAGAGAGAAAGAGAGAGUGAGCACAUGCACAAGUGAGACAGGGAGGGAGGGAGGAAGGGACAUUCUAAACAUCUUACAUUACAUUCAGAGCCUACUUAAUUCCUGGUGGGAAAACAGGGAAGACAAUGAUGCAGAAGCAAGACUACUAAUGACCCUGGAGGAUUAUAGAAAGUUACAGUUAUCACACUUAUAGCUACAUAUACAGCUAUCACAGCUACAGCAUACAUAUAGUUUUAUAUGCCAAUACUUAUAAAUACCUACAGAAGGACCAAAUAACUGGCUCUACUGAAGAUCUCUAAAUGACUAUUACAAGCCCUCUUCUGACAUUCCUGUGAGCUCACUCUCUGAUCUUCAGUUAAAACCAUAGCAUUUCAGGGGAUCCCGGGGGUGGGGUAGGGUGGGGGGGCUCAGUGGUUUAGCGCCUGCCUUCGGCCCAGGGUGUGAUCCUGGAGUCCUAGGAUCGAGUCCCAGGAUUGAGUCCUGCAUUGGGCUCCCCACGGAGAGCCUGCUUCUCCCUCUGCCUGUGUCUCUGCCUCUCUCUCUCAUGAAUAAAUAAAUAAAAUCUUAAAAAAAAAAAAAAAAAAACAUAGCAUUUCAGAGGAAGUGGCAGAAAUGGACAGGAACCCUAGACCAAGGCCCCUAGGGUGGGGCCUAUGGGUAGAAGAUGCUAACUGUUGGAUGAACAUCAUAUCUAAGCGUGAGAUCAAAGCUAAACCUUUGUAUAUAGUUUGUUUCAUGAUUAGGUCAUCCAACUCUGUUAAAGACUGGCCAACCAAAGAUCUCACUCAUGAUAGUAAAGACACAUACAUACACCAGGAUCUCAAAAGGACCUAAAAUUUCUUAAUCAGAAGUCUUAGUUGGAGAUUUCUGUCUGCUUCAAGUGGUCUUUUCCAGGCUGUCCCAGUAGAGAAUGGCAUACAAAGGAAAUAACUAGUUUCCUCUUUGGUUGGUUACCAGUUCUGCCAGCUAGAGCUCCAGGCACCUGGUCAACCCCACUGUCAGAUUUAAAUGCUCUCCACCCACAAGACUGCCCUGCCUACCGUGCAUGCAUUUAUCUCCACUGAAAAGUUGAAAAAAGUAAUCAUCUAGACUACCCCUGAGCUAUAAGAGAGGGAUUUCAUAGGGAAAGUACAAAGUUUACAAUGUCAUAAUCAUUCCAUAAAAAAUGAGCUCCAUCCCAGUUAGCACUGAUCUCGUAUGUGAAGUCAAAAUCCUGAACUAGCAAUAAGACUUGAAACUGAUGCUGAGAUGAUUACUCCCAGAGUGAGACGGAAGGGGUGCUCAGGAGUGCUGGAGAAAUCCUAGAAGAGGUCAAACCUGGGGAAAGAAGCCUCAGAGAAGCCUUCCUUGGAUCCAGAAGCUGAUGACAUCACCCUACUCAGUACUUCCUUUCUUCCUGUUUUAACUGGAAGAAAGAGGAAGAAGAUCCAAAUGUAGGAGAAAGAAUGUAGAAUCCCUACCUCCUCCCCACCUUACACAUACACUCCAGAUCACAGCUGUCCUUACACAGAUGCCAUACAGUUAAGUAGUCAAACACAUGAUGUGAUUCCAGCAGAAAGACUGGUAAAUACUAGGUGCUCAGUAGGCAUGUGCUGAAUGAAGAGGACCAAGAGAGAUUUCCUACCCCCAAAUAAUGUUUUUUCACUGACUGUCACAUUACCUUCACCUGGAAUUCCUCAGUUUGAGAUCUACUCCUUUAGGAUAAAGCCUCAUACUUUCCAAAACUGUGCUGCACCAAACACCAUACUCCAUGAGAUUUUAAUAUCACUUCAAAAAAAAAUAAUGGUUCUCAGGACACCUGGGUGAUUGUCUGCCUCCAGCUCAGGUCAUGAUCCCAUGGGUCCCUCCCCACAAGCAGGGAACCCACUUCUCCCCUCCCUCUGCGUGCCACUUCCCCUGCUUGUGCUUUCACACAUGCUCGUUAAAUAAAUAAAUAUUCUCUAGUUAACUAAGUUUGGAAAAGGUUAUAUUCUCUAUCUCUCUUUUGAAGCUUUACAAAUGCAUAUUAAAAGCUGUUUUUGAGGCAGAGGCAGUUGGAGAACUAGCAUGAAAUUCAGGACAGGGCCCAACUAAGCUAAGAAGCUUGUUCCAGAAGUACAGCUGAGAAGACUAGCAUGACAUCCAAUUCGCCCAAAGAGUAGCAGGGAGAGUUCAGUGUGUUCAACAACUGGGAGAUCUGUGCAUGGGUAAGACCCUACCUACCAAAGCCUAGAUGUAAGAAAAGUCUCUAGUAGGGGGAAUGGGUGGGCGGGUGGGAGGAAUCUCUGGUAUCAGAGAAGGGACCUGGCCUGAGAGAGGCUGGAAAGCAAAAGUCCCAGCCCCUGGUGAGGGGUUGACAGCAGAGUUUUAGUCCUAGACAAGGCUAGGGGGUCCAAGCAGGGCAACUGGACAGAGUCUGAUCCUUUUAGGGAAAAGCCAAAAUAAAGGUGAGAUGGAGGAGAGGCAGAGUAAUGGACAGAGCUGUCCCUCACAGUACAGUACACCUAUUCAAGAGUCCCUCCCUGCUGGGGGCACUGGCUCCCAAAUCCUGGUGAUUAGAAGACCUAGCUAUUAAAAAAAAAAAAAAAAAAA